CUGGGGAGACUGUAGCAAGUAGAAGGUAAGUCUCACCUGUUUGAGUUUGAACAGGUGAGAGCUUUACCCGUUUUCAAUUAUUUACAAGCAUCUAUCGAUUAGCAAUUGUUUGACUUGAAUCGACACCAGCUUACCGCUCCCCUACGACAAUGGCACUUGUGCGCUGCUUAUGUUACCUUUUAUUUCGGUGACUACUUGCUACCUUUACCUGAAAAUGAAAGUGUUACCACGCUCAGGUGUACGACGGUAGUAAAGGGAAUUUUGGGUAGCUCAGCCUUGGAUCUCGUGGGUCUGUAUACCUCGGGGAGCUUACUCUAAACACGAACUUGGAAGCAACUUGAAAAGCUCAACCUGCUUUUCUGCUGCAUUUACUGUUACUAUUUAAGCGCACACUUCACUACAAGUUUGUUGACAAAUCGAUUAGAAAUGGUCCGACGCUGGCGUUCAGCUGAAUAAAUUGCACAUGUCACCUGCUUUUGGUGUUAUCGCCAUCCAGAAAUGAGGUGGGAGUGAACAGUUGGUAUGCUAUCAAUGAAAAUAAUCGUAUUUUGAUAUUCAACAAUGUUGCUUUUACUCAUAAAGUAACCGUAAGGUAAAUAUGGAACUUGCUGAUAAUAAAUUUGGAAAUAAACGAAA
Molecule: long non-coding RNA, 636 nt
Organism: Hermetia illucens (black soldier fly)
Lineage: Eukaryota; Metazoa; Arthropoda; Insecta; Diptera; Stratiomyidae
Exons: 3
Source: RefSeq, a predicted model, not a curated record